Molecule: microRNA, 22 nt
Filed under: Cavia porcellus (domestic guinea pig)
Lineage: Eukaryota; Metazoa; Chordata; Mammalia; Rodentia; Caviidae
Description: cpo-miR-376d-5p
Gene: cpo-miR-376d-5p
Source: miRBase by way of RNAcentral
GUGGAUUUUCCUCCUAUGAUUA